This 85-nucleotide transfer RNA is filed under the name Anaerolineae bacterium. RNAcentral describes it as "tRNA-Ser". It matches the Rfam family "tRNA". From Rfam's summary of the family: Transfer RNA (tRNA) molecules are approximately 80 nucleotides in length. Their secondary structure includes four short double-helical elements and three loops (D, anti-codon, and T loops). The record is from RNAcentral. Lineage: Bacteria; Bacillati; Chloroflexota; Anaerolineae.
GGAGGGAUGGCCGAGUGGCCGAUGGCAACGGUCUUGAAAACCGUCGUAGCGCAAGCUACCGUGGGUUCGAAUCCCACUCCCUCCG